This 253-nucleotide ribosomal RNA is filed under the name uncultured bacterium. RNAcentral describes it as "partial 16S ribosomal RNA". It matches the Rfam family "Bacterial small subunit ribosomal RNA", at positions 524 to 776 of the family's 1533-position model. The record is from RNAcentral.
UACGAAGGGGGCUAGCGUUGUUCGGAAUUACUGGGCGUAAAGGGCUCGUAGGCGGCCAACUAAGUCACACGUGAAAUCCCCAGGCUUAACCUGGGAACUGCGUGUGAUACUGGAUGGCUUGAAUUCGGGAGAGGGAUGCAGAAUUCCAGGUGUAGCGGUGAAAUGCGUAGAUAUCUGGAGGAAUACCGGUGGCGAAGGCGGCAUCCUGGACCGACAUUGACGCUGAUGAGCGAAAGCUAGGGGAGCAAACGGG